AUGGGGUUCAGAGAUGUGCACUGCUUUAACUUGGCCCUCCUAGCCAAGCAGAGCUGGAGGUUACUAGCAGAGCCAGAUUCAUUGUGUGCUAGAGUCUUGAGGGCAAAAUAUUUCCCGGAUGGAGACCUACUAAAUUGCCCUCUCAAGAAGGGGAGCUCUUACACUUGGCAGAGCCUGUGGAGUGGUCUUCAGACUUUCAAAAAAGGAUACAUAUGGAGAGUGGGAGACGGCACACAGAUAAACAUAUGGGAUGAUCCUUGGGUGACAAGCAGCCCAAACAGAAAGGUUAUGACCCCACGAGGUAAUAUCAUUCUUACUGAAGUUUCUGAGUUGAUUGACAUGGAGAAUCGGUGUUGGGAUGAACACCUUAUCAGACAUAUCUUUUGGCCCAUUGAUGCAAACCGUAUCCUGAAUAUACCCCUUGCAACGGGGAUGAUGGAGGAUUUUGUUUCGUGGCACUAUAAUAAAACUGGAAUUUUUUCGGUCAAGACGGCUUACCAUAUGGAGUGGGAUCACCAACACGGACGAAAGUUGAGACAAACAAAUUCAAUAUUGUCUUCAAGUACUAGUCCAGUUUGGCGCAUUCUUUGGAAGCUUCGAGUACCGGCAAAAGUCAAAGUGCAUGUGUGGCGAGCUUUGUAUGGAGCAAUCCCUUGCCGGGGUGUUUUGGCAAAUCGACAUAUGAUUACAGUUUUGGACUGCCCAUUAUGUGAGUCAGAUUGCGAGAGUAUUCGUCAUGCUUUCUUUCGUUGCCAUAGGGUGCAGGAGAUUUGGGCAAAACUUGGCCUGAGUUCCACUAUC
This 801-nucleotide ribosomal RNA is filed under the name Triticum aestivum (bread wheat). RNAcentral's name for it is "partial small subunit ribosomal RNA". The record is from RNAcentral. Lineage: Eukaryota; Viridiplantae; Streptophyta; Magnoliopsida; Poales; Poaceae.